Molecule: ribosomal RNA, 252 nt
Filed under: uncultured bacterium
Lineage: Bacteria
Description: partial 16S ribosomal RNA
Rfam family: Bacterial small subunit ribosomal RNA
Source: RNAcentral
UACGUAGGUCCCGAGCGUUGUCCGGAUUUAUUGGGCGUAAAGCGAGCGCAGGCGGCUCUGUAAGUCUGAAGUUAAAGGCAUUGGCUCAACCAAUGUUCGCUUUGGAAACUGCAGGGCUUGAGUGCAGAAGGGGAGAGUGGAAUUCCAUGUGUAGCGGUGAAAUGCGUAGAUAUAUGGAGGAACACCGGUGGCGAAAGCGGCUCUCUGGUCUGUAACUGACGCUGAGGCUCGAAAGCGUGGGGAGCAAACAGG